AUGCUCUGGAAAAAAUUGGAUUCUGCUCCUGCCUGUACUGUGAAGUUCCAAUUUGUAAGUAAUAGUGUCUUUUUUCCUCUUGGGUUCUACAGGCUUAUUCUAGCAGCUAAUAGGGAUGAAUUUUACCACAGACCAUCCAAAUCAGCCGAGUUUUGGGACAGCAGCAAUGAGAUCCUUAGUGGUCUGGAUAUGGAGGAGGGAAAAGAAGGAGGGACAUGGCUGGGAAUCAGUAAGAAAGGCAAGAUGGCAGCCCUGACAAACUAUAUGCAGCCAAAGAUUGAUAAAAAUGCAAAAGGAAGAGGUGCUCUUGUAACAAACUUCUUGACUGCAGAUCUCGACAGCUACUCUUACUUGAAGAAAGUUUCAGUAGAGGGACAUCUUUACAAUGGAUUUAAUUUAUUAGCAGCUGACUUGAAUACCACCAAAGGAGAUGUAAUUUGCUACUAUGGAAACAAAGGAGAUCCAGAACCUGUUUUCCUAAAUGCUGGAAUAUAUGGAUUGAGUAAUUCUUUGUUGGAUACACCAUGGAAGAAACUUCAAUAUGGGAAGCAGCUUUUCACAGAAGUGGUCAAAAGAAGUCAAGACCUUACCAAAGAAGAUCUAGUGAAGGAGCUUCUUACUGUGAUGAAUAAUCAAGAACCUCAAUUACCAGACCCUGCAAUUGAAGACCAAGGGAAGGACUAUAUCCGUCCUAUGUUGAACAAGUACGCAGCUUUAUGUGUUCGUUGCCCGGGUUAUGGAACAAGGACGAACACGGUCGUGCUCAUCGAUUCUGAGGGACACGUUACUUUCACCGAGCGCAACAUGAUCAAUGCUGAUGUCAACCAGUGGAAAACAAGCACCUAUGAAUUCAAACUGCACAGUUAACAACUUUCCACAUGAAUGGUUUGUAAUAAUAGCAAUGACAGAACAAGCCAUUAAGCUCUAGUAAAUGUUUUGUGCCAGCCUCCACAAGCUAAAAAUAGCAAGGAAAGCAAAAGUUUAAAUAAACUGGUAGCAUACCCUAUCAAGCUCACAAAUGCUUUGGAGAAAACCAGAUGAAGAUGCUGUUUUUACAUGAAGUAGCAACUUAUAAUGAGAAAUAUUUUGUUUAAUACCACCCCGCUUUCAGGGCAAGGCCAUCUUUGUCCAAGACAAAGUCAUUACUUUUUUGUGGGUGUGGAUUUUUUUAAAUAUGUUAUAAGUAGACUUAAACUUGUUUUUAGUUAUAAUGGUGGGGAAAUAUUUGCAGCUUUUAUUGUUCUAAGUGAAGGUUUUAGCAAACUUUGCUUUACCUUCAACAUAUGCUGUUAAGAUUGUACAGCUGAUGCCAGUGUGCAUUAAAUGAAUGUAUGUUAUCCUGGUAGUAUUAAGUGCUUUAGUCUCAUUUAAGCUUUUCAGUGCCAUGGUGCAAUGUUCUGCCUGGGGAGGGCAGAGAGCGGGGAUUCUUUACAUUUGUUUUUCUAUAGAUAGUACAGCAAUAGAUCUUAUUUCUUUUUUAUCUGAGAAUCAAGGUAGAGCAUUUAGUUCAGUCUCUGUUCACUUUUACUGAAAGAACCAUGGGAGCAGACUUGUUAUCUUUGACCUGAAUAAAACUAUUUGUGCUGUAACAUCCUGUUUCCUGAUAGUCUAAUGAGCAAUAUUGUUUUUGUUAUUUUCUUCCCUGGCAAGCAGGUAAGGAAUAGGUACCCAUUUGCAAACAGAAGCUGAAGAUGAGGUUUUCAUGUAUUGACUGUUCUGUGCAUACAAAAUUUUGGUUUAAUUUCUUUGUUGGUAUAAUGUGUUACAGCCUGGAGUGACUGCUCAUAGAUUUUUAGUAAAAAUAGCUUGUGUGUUGUGAGGUGACACUGUUGUAGUCUUAUAUUGUUGAAAAAGUUGGAUAUUAAGAGGUACUUCCUAUGUUCUAACACCUGUGAAUUAAAAAGCUAAUUAAAUGCAUGCUUUUUUCAAUUAUUCAGCACCAGUGUAGGUAGUAGAAGAUUCUAGCUAAUACCAGGAUAUUUUAAAACCCUAAGCUAUUUUUGUUUCUAUUGGUGUUCUGUUUUGACUUACUUUGAAUACUGAAUAUUAGUUUAGUAGUGGAUCACCAAUAUUUUUUUUCCUUUAGGUAUGUUUUACUGUAUUUUCACAAGCCUCUGAUUUUAAUUAAUUAUUGAAAUGUAGCCAAAUUUUUGAUACUCUUUGGAAGAUGUGCGGCUGUGUUUCUGUACUCAAGCUGGUGUGUUUGGGCAUUCCUCUGUGUGUGUGUGUGUCUCUAUACUGGAGGCAGUAAAUGAGACUCCAUUGAGGUGAAGUACUGUGAAAAGCCAUUCCCAGAUUUGUAAUUGUCAGGAGAUACUAAAGCUGUAUUUAUUCAAAUCUCUUCUUUAUAUUUGCAUAUUUAAAUAGCUUCUAGAUACCAGGACUGCUUACAUGACUAGACACAGGUUGUGGAUUCAGUUCUGUAUAAAUGACUUUUUGACCACCUUGAUGUCAAGACAAUCAACAAUCGUGUUGGGUUGUACAUGGUUUAGAACUCAAAGCCUUCCAGACUGUCCUGAGCUGCAGGAAAUGGAAAGGGCCCAAACCUUGGAUGUUGUUUUUUGUCGCAUCAGAAUAGCUAAUAAAGAGGUUUUUAACUUCUUUGGAAGCUUGUGAGAGUUUUGUCAUUGGCUUCAGUGGAAACAGGACUGGAAACAGACUGCUGUGCAGCUAACUGCAAGUGGUGCUUGCCCACAGAAGUGAUAAGGUAUUUGUGGAGUGCAUGAUCUACUGUGUGCAAAUUAGAGUUGCAAUGAAUCCACUGGAAAUGUGAGACUGUACCUACAGUUAAGAAAGAAAGUGUUUUAUUUUUAUAAAAGUAUUUUUAAUAAUAAAAGGGAAUUUUAAAUACCAGUUUUAAAGGAUAUAAAGGAAAAAAGUGUAUAUAGGAAACUAUUGCAUCGUAUUUUACUAAGUUUGCUUAUACAUAUCAUCUCUUCAAAGUCAUACAUUUGCAAGAGAUUUUUUUCCUGAUUUUUUUUCUAUUGGAAUGGUAGUGGAAGAAAUUCUAAAAUGUGUAAAACCUCAGUUAUGUUUUAUUGCUUAAAAUUGUGUCAUAGUUGUUGUUUACAUAUGUGUUCAAAACUAGAAUCAGAAUAAAGUCAAGCUGGUGACCAGUCUUUGUUGACAUUAGUAGAUUGUGCAUUUUUGCAC
Molecule: RNA transcript, 3153 nt
Organism: Pseudopodoces humilis (Tibetan ground-tit)
Lineage: Eukaryota; Metazoa; Chordata; Aves; Passeriformes; Paridae
Gene: TANGO2
Gene name: transport and golgi organization 2 homolog
Source: RefSeq, a predicted model, not a curated record